RNAcentral lists this ribosomal RNA (373 nucleotides) under uncultured bacterium. RNAcentral describes it as "bacterial SSU rRNA". It matches the Rfam family "Bacterial small subunit ribosomal RNA", at positions 527 to 898 of the family's 1533-position model. The record is from RNAcentral.
AGAGGGGGCGAGCGUUAUUCGGAAUUAUUGGGCGUAAAGGGCGCGUAGGCGGCUGCGCAAGUCUCGGGUGAAAUCCCUCGGCUCAACCGAGGAACUGCCCUGGAAACUGCGCGGCUCGAGGCCGGGAGAGGAUGGUGGAAUUCCCAGUGUAGCGGUGAAAUGCGUAGAUAUUGGGAGGAACACCGGUGGCGAAGGCGGCCAUCUGGACCGGUCCUGACGCUGAGGCGCGAAAGCGUGGGGAGCAAACAGGAUUAGAUACCCUGGUAGUCCACGCCCUAAACGAUGGGUACUCGGUGUCGCGGGUAUCGACCCCCGCGGUGCCUUAGCUAACGCGUUAAGUACCCCGCCUGGGGAGUACGGUCGCAAGGCUGAA